RNAcentral lists this transfer RNA (74 nucleotides) under Micrococcus sp. Its description in RNAcentral is "tRNA-Gly". It matches the Rfam family "tRNA". Rfam says of the family: Transfer RNA (tRNA) molecules are approximately 80 nucleotides in length. Their secondary structure includes four short double-helical elements and three loops (D, anti-codon, and T loops). The record is from RNAcentral. Lineage: Bacteria; Bacillati; Actinomycetota; Actinomycetes; Micrococcales; Micrococcaceae.
GCGGAUGUAGCUCAGCUGGCUAGAGCACCACCUUGCCAAGGUGGGGGUCGCGGGUUCGAAACCCGUUUUCCGCU